This 502-nucleotide ribosomal RNA is filed under the name Paenibacillus lautus. RNAcentral's name for it is "bacterial SSU rRNA". It matches the Rfam family "Bacterial small subunit ribosomal RNA", at positions 383 to 877 of the family's 1533-position model. The record is from RNAcentral. Lineage: Bacteria; Bacillati; Bacillota; Bacilli; Caryophanales; Paenibacillaceae.
CUGACGGAGCAACGCCGCGUGAGUGAUGAAGGUUUUCGGAUCGUAAAGCUCUGUUGCCAAGGAAGAACGUCUUCUAGAGUAACUGCUAGGAGAGUGACGGUACUUGAGAAGAAAGCCCCGGCUAACUACGUGCCAGCAGCCGCGGUAAUACGUAGGGGGCAAGCGUUGUCCGGAAUUAUUGGGCGUAAAGCGCGCGCAGGCGGUUCUUUAAGUCUGGUGUUUAAACCCGAGGCUCAACUUCGGGUCGCACUGGAAACUGGGGGACUUGAGUGCAGAAGAGGAGAGUGGAAUUCCACGUGUAGCGGUGAAAUGCGUAGAUAUGUGGAGGAACACCAGUGGCGAAGGCGACUCUCUGGGCUGUAACUGACGCUGAGGCGCGAAAGCGUGGGGAGCAAUCAGGAUUAGAUACCCUGGUAGUCCACGCCGUAAACGAUGAAUGCUAGGUGUUAGGGGUUUCGAUACCCUUGGUGCCGAAGUUAACACAUUAAGCAUUCCGCCUGGG